UAUAAUGUUUAAUUUGUAUUUUUCUUUCCAUGACUUUUUUUUUCUCUUUCAGUCAAGUUUUUCCAUUAAAAAAAUGCAGUAAAUUAUAACAGAGCAAGACAUCACAAGCAAAUAGGAAAAAAAGCCUCAGGAAAAAUCAGUUUCUUGGUAAGUUUCAUCAUGUGGCCCCACAAGUAGUUGUACAAACCACUGUAUUAAACCCCAGAAGAGGGGCAAGGAGCUCAUUCACAAGACUUAGCUACAGAAAAUGCAGUCAAGACAGUCCCUUCCUUCAAGCAGUAGACAAGCCACUAUGUAGUUAAGAGCAUCCUGGCAAAGCACCAUGCAAGAUACGAGCAGAAAUGUGCUGUGGCUGCUGCACGUGAAGAUACAGCCUUUGGUAACUUCUUGCUGAGCCGCUAGAGGCUGCUAAACAAACGUAACCCAUAGCCUCACCCUGUGAGGAUGCUGGACGAGGUUAAGGGCAAAGCUGAAAUAAAAAAACAUCACUAGAGUAGUUGCUUGAAAGACAACACAUUCUUCCGGGUAGAGACAGUGAGGAGUUGGUGGAAUAGAAACAAGAAAAGUAGAGACUUCUUUUUCUGCUCUCUGGGUCAUUUCUUUUGCUGGUUAUAAGCUUUAAAAGCUAAAGACAAGAUCUUGCUGACUAAUCCUAUUUCUGUUGUACAUAGAGGCUCAAUAAAAUGGCUGGGGAGGUGAAAUAUGCAGAGAAACAAUUGAACUCCUGCAAAAAUCAGGAGUUUUCAUCCAUAUCCAUCCCUUUUGAAUAACUGCUUGAAAAAGUGUGUAUGUACAAAUACAUAUAUUAAAAAAUAAACGCACAGUGAAGAAAGGAUUCCUAGGGAUUCUCCUUGAUUCUCCUGUCCUCCCUUUUCUGUCAUCCAGCAGAGCUUCUUGUUAAGCUCAAAUAAGAAAGAGAACUGUUUUUCUGUUCACUGGAACUGCUUUCUCUUCAGUGAAUAUAUCAAUUGAAUAUUUUUUUUUAAUGUUAAAGUCAUAUAAGGAAUAACUGUAAAUAUGAAUCCUUGAGCUUAAAAAACUCGAUUGAAGAACUUUCGUGCUUAUGAAACG
Molecule: long non-coding RNA, 1071 nt
Filed under: Meleagris gallopavo (turkey)
Lineage: Eukaryota; Metazoa; Chordata; Aves; Galliformes; Phasianidae
Description: lncRNA (ENSMGAG00000019430.1)
Source: RNAcentral